Molecule: ribosomal RNA, 439 nt
Filed under: uncultured bacterium
Lineage: Bacteria
Description: partial 16S ribosomal RNA
Rfam family: Bacterial small subunit ribosomal RNA
Source: RNAcentral
CUACGGGUUGCUCCAGUGAGGAAUAUUGCACAAUGGGGGGAACCCUGAUGCAGCAACGCCGCGUGGGGGAUGACGCAUUUCGGUGUGUAAACUCCUUUUAUAUGUCAAGAAAAUGACGGUAGCAUAUGAAUAAGCACCGGCUAACUCCGUGCCAGCAGCCGCGGUAAUACGGAGGGUGCAAGCGUUACUCGGAAUCACUGGGCGUAAAGGACGCGUAGGCGGGUUGGAAAGUCAGGUGUGAAAUCCUACAGCUUAACUGUAGAACUGCACUUGAAACUUCUAAUAUAGAGUAUGGGAGGGGGAGAUGGAAUUAGUGGUGUAGGGGUAAAAUCCGUAGAUAUCACUAGGAAUACCUAAAGCGAAGGCGAUCUCCUGGAACAUUACUGACGCUAAGGCGUGAAAGCGUGGGGAGCAAACAGGAUUAGAUACCCGGGUAGUC